AGGUCAUUAGAGGAGUAAAAGUCGUAACAAGGUUUCCGUAGGUGAACCUGCGGAAGGAUCAUUACAAAUCUCAGUGCCGCUCGCGGCACGUUUGCGCGGGGCGCGAGCCCCGACGUUUACGCGUUCAUGUUUUUGACUGUACGAAUGAAGCCACAUAGACAACUUUUAACAAUGGAUCUCUAGGCUCUUGCAACGAUGAAGAACGCAGUAAAGUGCGAUACGUAGUGCGAUUUGCAUGAAUCUGUGAGUCAUCUAAUCUUUGAACGCAACUUGCGCCCCCUUGGGGCAUGUCUGUUUGAGAACCGCAACAACCUAACCCCCCGGGGUUGAGCUGCACCGUGCUGCGCAGCGGCUGGUGCGAAAGGCAGCAGGAGAGGGCGCGGAGCCGACCAUGUGCUGGGACCUCGGUCACGUCAUGGCGCGGCGACCAAGCCCGAUAUCAAACAUUUGGUCUCAAAUCAGGCAAGACUACCCGCUGAACUUAA
RNAcentral lists this ribosomal RNA (485 nucleotides) under uncultured fungus. RNAcentral describes it as "eukaryotic LSU rRNA". The stretch from base 161 to 305 matches the Rfam family "5.8S ribosomal RNA". The record is from RNAcentral. Lineage: Eukaryota; Fungi.